Triticum dicoccoides is the source of this 522-nucleotide long non-coding RNA. RefSeq lists it as uncharacterized. The record is from RefSeq and is a predicted model, not a curated record. The transcript is spliced from 3 exons. Lineage: Eukaryota; Viridiplantae; Streptophyta; Magnoliopsida; Poales; Poaceae.
CAUGUUCGAUCGAUCCCCAAUCUCAUCCCCUCCCCUCUCUCCCUCUCUCUCUCGCGACCCACACACCCUAACCCUAACCCGACUGCGCCGCCGCGCCCGACAUGGGCGCCGCCGCCCCAACCCACCAACCGGUCCCCUUGCGCCACCACUUCUCGGACCGUGGCCUCCCUUCCCUUAGUCCGCAGUAGCAGCAGUGUCAUCUAGGACGGAGGAGCGCCGUCCGCCGCUGAGGAGCAGCAGCGCGGUCCGCUGCGCGCCGGGAACAUCAGCACCAUACGCCGGAGGAUCCUCUGCACCGACUACUAUUGAGGAGGAGCCCGCUGUUCUUCUUCCUUCAGUGGCGACCCCUGUCACGACCCCGCCUCCAGAUCUCAACAAGAGGUUCCAGGUCUAGGAAAUGGCAUUAUUGGUGUGGUGUUGUUCUGUUUUCUCAAUGAAUAUGAGUCGCUCGAUGGAUGGGAAUUGCUACUUUGCAGGUGCCGAUGAUGCCAGUGCAGGUGAUGCAACGCAGCUCAAGUGGGA